AAUACGUCAGCGGCAGACGGGUGAGUAACGCGUGGGAACGUACCUUUUGGUUCGGAACAACACAGGGAAACUUGUGCUAAUACCGGAUAAGCCCUUACGGGGAAAGAUUUAUCGCCGAAAGAUCGGCCCGCGUCUGAUUAGCUAGUUGGUGGGGUAACGGCCCACCAAGGCGACGAUCAGUAGCUGGUCUGAGAGGAUGAUCAGCCACAUUGGGACUGAGACACGGCCCAAACUCCUACGGGAGGCAGCAGUGGGGAAUAUUGGACAAUGGGCGCAAGCCUGAUCCAGCCAUGCCGCGUGAGUGAUGAAGGCCCUAGGGUUGUAAAGCUCUUUUGUGCGGGAAGAUAAUGACGGUACCGCAAGAAUAAGCCCCGGCUAACUUCGUGCCAGCAGCCGCGGUAAUACGAAGGGGGCUAGCGUUGCUCGGAAUCACUGGGCGUAAAGGGUGCGUAGGCGGGUCUUUAAGUCAGGGGUGAAAUCCUGGAGCUCAACUCCAGAACUGCCUUUGAUACUGAAGAUCUUGAGUUCGGGAGAGGUGAGUGGAACUGCGAGUGUAGAGGUGAAAUUCGUAGAUAUUCGCAAGAACACCAGUGGCGAAGGCGGCUCACUGGCCCGAUACUGACGCUGAGCA
Molecule: ribosomal RNA, 631 nt
Filed under: Afipia sp.
Lineage: Bacteria; Pseudomonadati; Pseudomonadota; Alphaproteobacteria; Hyphomicrobiales; Nitrobacteraceae
Description: bacterial SSU rRNA
Rfam family: Bacterial small subunit ribosomal RNA
Source: RNAcentral